UCAAGUUAUUAAGGGUGCAGGGCGAAUGCCUUGGCACUAGGAGCCGAUGAAGGACGUGAUAAGCUGCGAUAAGCUUCGGGGAGUUGCACGUAAACUUUGAUCCGAAGAUUUCCGAAUGAGGAAACUCACUUAGAGUAAUGUCUAAGUAUCGUAUGAUGAAUACAUAGUCAUGCGAGGGGAACCCGGAGAACUGAAACAUCUAAGUACCCGGAGGAAGAGAAAGAAAUUCGAUUCCGUAAGUAGCGGCGAGCGAACGCGGAACAGGCCAAACCAGUGAAGUUUUCUUCGCUGGGGUUGCGGACAUAUCAUAACGAAGAGGUAUCGUAGAGGAAGAGAGUUGGAAAGCUCCGCCAUAGAUGGUAACAGCCCAGUACUUUAAACGAGAAGACUUUAGAUAUGAUCCAGAGUACCACGGGACACGUGAAACCCUGUGGGAAGCAGGAGGGACCAUCCUCCAAGCCUAAAUACUACCUAGUGACCGAUAGCGUAUAGUACCGUGAGGGAAAGGUGAAAAGAACCCCGGGAGGGGAGUGAAAGAGAACCUGAAACCCUGCACUUACAAGCUGUAGGAGCACAUUUCUUGUGUGACUGCGUACUUUUUGUAGAACGGGCCAACGAGUUACGUUGUGUAGCAAGGUUAAGCACUUAAGGUGUGGAGCCGUAGCGAAAGCGAGUCUUAAAUGGGCGUCUAGUUACCCGACGUAGACCCGAAACCAGGCGACCUAUCCAUGAGCAGGUUGAAGCGAAAGUAAAAUUUCGUGGAGGACCGAACCCACGUACGUUGAAAAGUGCGGGGAUGACUUGUGGAUAGCGGUGAAAUUCCAAUCGAGCCUGGAGAUAGCUGGUUCUCCCCGAAAUAGCUUUAGGGCUAGCCUCAAGAUUAGAGAAGCGGAGGUAGAGCACUGAAUGUCCUAGGGGGUAUUGCACUUACCGAAGACUAUCAAACUCCGAAUGCCGUAUUCUUUUGCUUGGGAGUCAGACUAUGGGUGAUAAGAUUCAUAGUCAAGAGGGCAACAGCCCAGAUCGUCAGCUAAGGUCCCUAAAUGUAAGUUAAGUGGUAAAGGAUGUGGAAUUGCACAGACAACCAGGAUGUUGGCUUAGAAGCAGCCACUCAUUUAAAGAGUGCGUAAUAGCUCACUGGUCGAGUGAUUCUGCGCCGAAAAUUUCCGGGGCUAAAACUUACUACCGAAGCUACGGCAUCAUUAUGAUGGGUAGGGGAGCUUUCUAUACGGGUUGAAGCAUGACCGUAAGGACAUGUGGACUGUAUAGAAGUGAGAAUGUUGGCAUGAGUAGCGAGAUGUGGGUGAGAAUCCCACAGGCCGUAAACCCAAGGUUUCCAGGGGAAGGUUCGUCCGCCCUGGGUUAGUCAGGACCUAAGCCGAGGCCGAAAGGCGUAGGUGAUGGACAACAGGUUGAUAUUCCUGUACCACCAAUAACCGUUUGAGAAAUGGGAUGACACAGUAGGAUAAGCUAACCGCACUGUUGGUUAUGUGCGGGCAAGUAUUGAGGCAGUUCCGAUAGGCAAAUCCGUCGGAAUAAUGCUGGGGUACGAUGCGGAGCGAAAUUAAGUAGCGAAGUAGCUGAUUUCACACUGUCGAGAAAAGUCUCUAUCGAGGUUAAAGGUGCCUGUACCGCAAACCGACACAGGUGGGUGAGGAGAGUAUCCUAAGGCCAGCGAGAGAACUGUUGUUAAGGAACUCGGCAAAAUGACCCCGUAACUUAGGGAGAAGGGGUGCCUUCGAAAGAAGGCCGCAGAGAAUAGGCCCAAGCGACUGUUUACCAAAAACAUAGGUUUCUGCUAAGUCGCAAGACGAUGUAUAGGAGCUGACGCCUGCCCGGUGCUGGAAGGUUAAGGGGAUCUGUUAGAGCAAUCGAAGCAGUGAACUUAAGCCCCAGUAAACGGCGGCCGUAACUAUAACGGUCCUAAGGUAGCGAAAUUCCUUGUCGGG
This 1949-nucleotide ribosomal RNA is filed under the name human gut metagenome. Its description in RNAcentral is "bacterial LSU rRNA". It matches the Rfam family "Bacterial large subunit ribosomal RNA", at positions 3 to 1976 of the family's 2925-position model. The record is from RNAcentral.